UGACCGACCAAAAUCAGCGACCGAGGUGAAAUUAACCUUAUUGAUCUGCAAAUUUCUCAAUCAUCAAAGAUAUCAUGGAUUCAAAUCAAACCCAGUACAACAAAAAAAUGUUUUCGUUAUUGAUCUAAUAGUUUUGCAAAGGUUAGUUUCGAGCAGCCAUUUCCGUCAGAUCAGAUCCAGAUUCUGUUCAUGAAAGACAGCUAUAUGUAGCUAAUAUUGAUUCCGCGCUCGUCUAUUCACAUCGAUAUAUACUUAUCUACAGAUGAGAAAGCAAGGAUUUUAACUUGGAUGCACCAUGCGACUGA
Molecule: non-coding RNA, 305 nt
Organism: Camelina sativa (false flax)
Lineage: Eukaryota; Viridiplantae; Streptophyta; Magnoliopsida; Brassicales; Brassicaceae
Source: RefSeq, a predicted model, not a curated record